CUUUUUUUUUUUCUUUUUUUUUUUUUUAAACAGGAGGUUUUUAACAAUCUCCUGAUGAAAUGCUCAUUAUACAGAUAUAUUUUGACAAGUCCUCUAAAGCAGUCCCCAAAGACCCUAUUUGCUAUUCUGUUUUGAAAAGAGAGAUCAAAGUUAGGAGAGGAAACAGUAACUUUGCAGGAGCAGGAACCAGACUGAGAGAUAAAACAAUGCUUUCAGCCUUCCCAGAGAACAGUCAGAACAGAAGCAAAUGCAUUACAUCUGAUUCAGUCCAGUAGCAUAACAAGGUUUCAAAUUUUUAGUAGAAAAAGGAAGGGUUGCUUUCACGUAUUUCAUUGCUUUCCUCAGCAAAAAGGAGGUGUUUGUAAAUGAAAAGCCUACACCUUCAAAACACAAUGGGAAAUGGAGGUGAGCCUUGCAAAGGAGCUCUCCACACCUAUACAUAACUCUUACUCUUGCAAGCAAAAACAUCAGUAAAAAUUCAGACACGUUCUUCCCUGUCUGAUGGGAUAAGGGGAACAGGAAGGGAAGAACAAGCAAAAAAAAAUUCCAAGACCCCACAGAUAAAGUCACUUCUGUUCCACAAUCACAAAACUGCCAUUUCUGGCAGAAACACCCAACACUGAUUAGAAGAGCUGCAGCAGUUACAUCAUAAACUGCAAUGAUUUCAAGUAGUAGCUUGCUCCUCCAAGGCAAAACGGUCAUUUACAUUAUUCCAUCCAGUUCAAUUACUCGAAAAGCAGCAGCAUGGGUUCCUCUAAAACCAGCACUUCUUUUGCUUUUGCACACUGUUUUAUUACAGGUUGUCUGAGUAUCUCUAUACCACUACAACGAGCAACUUGUGGAAUCUGAAAUCUCAUGUUAUAGCUAAUUGUCACAUCAGUAAUUUAACAGUGUAAAAAAGGUCCUUUGGGCAGCACUACUUCACAGACCAUCUGUUUGGAGCAUAUAGGAAAGAGUCAGUAGCCUUUCUAGGACGAUUAUAGCCUACUGUGUAAAGCCUUACCACUGAGAUGAGUUACAUUAAGUUUCUGAAUACUCGCAUGAAACAUUGUAGUCACUCCUGCUAAAAUUAAAAGCUUAACAGU
Molecule: long non-coding RNA, 1085 nt
Filed under: Strigops habroptila (Kakapo)
Lineage: Eukaryota; Metazoa; Chordata; Aves; Psittaciformes; Psittacidae
Description: lncRNA (ENSSHBG00005020221.1)
Source: RNAcentral